RNAcentral lists this long non-coding RNA (1043 nucleotides) under Elaeis guineensis (African oil palm). Its description in RNAcentral is "long non-coding RNA (EGUI_LNC074451)". The record is from RNAcentral. Lineage: Eukaryota; Viridiplantae; Streptophyta; Magnoliopsida; Arecales; Arecaceae.
UGGAUUUGGAUCAUGUAUGACCUGCCCGACUCAAAUGAUCCAAUAAAUCGAAAAUAUUUUACUGAACGGAGUUGAACCAAGCAGGACGUAUCCAAAUUCAAAAUCCGGCAAAUCUCCUUCGAAACUUUGGGGAAAAAAAAAAAACUGCUUGGAAACCUACCCUUUCCUUUCCCUUUUCCUACUUCCCGUAGAAGGAAUUCCAGCUGCCCGGAAAACGGCGCGAGAAUCUCUUCCCCAGAACAUCCAAUGGAUGAUGAGCAAACGGUCAAGGUAUCAUCUCUCUCGCUCCUUUAGUGCUCUGCGGUUCUGAUUAUGGAUUCUAUUCUUGUCUUCCUUUAAGGGUUCUAUUGAUAUGGUGUUUUUUCUCAAUUCUCUACUAAUGUAGGAUCGAGAAUCUAAUUAGCUGAGCUGUGGCUUUUGAUUGUGGAUAUUUUUCUCUUGGUUCCUUGCGUUUCUACCAUAUUUGGGCGGUGGAAAACUACUGGAAAUUCGACUUUUUUGUUCUCUUUAUAAAGUUGCAAUCCACAGUGUUCGCCGUGUAAUUCGUGGGUGAUCCAAAGUUUGUGCGGUUUUUGCUUUGCCUGCAGUUAUUUUCCUAUUUCUUUUCUUCUUUCUUUUUGAUUCUUGAGCUGAUAAGAAUGUCUCCUGGAUCCUAUACAAUCUUUUUUUUUCCCCCCUAUAAAUUCCUUUUGAAUGAUUUCUUCUACUAAUUUUAUUUUUUUAUCUUGUUUUCAUGAUUAUGGAAGACACGCCUAUCUUAAAUGAGUUGUAAUUUCUCUUUUGAAGCCUUUAACAUGUGGAAUACAGUUCGUAAUUAAUUAGAACACGUCUAUUUGUCCACGAAGAAUUUAUGAAGACAUUCGACGUAAUUUUAGUGUAUGAAUGAAGUGGAGCUUUUUUGCUGGAGAGUUGACAUGAGUAAGGCUGCUGAUGUUGUAUGAAGUUUCAGAAUGCUGGGGACAAAACAAGAGUAGGACAUAUUGAAUGAGCAUUGCAUAGAUUAUAAUGCCUGAAUAACUGUAUUCUGUAUCGAAGACAGUUUG